UGGGGAAUUUUGGACAAUGGACGCAAGUCUGAUCCAGCCAUGCCGCGUGCGGGAAGAAGGCCUUCGGGUUGUAAACCGCUUUUGUCAGGGAAGAAACGAGUUUCUCUAAUACAGAGACAUAAUGACGGUACCUGAAGAAUAAGCACCGGCUAACUACGUGCCAGCAGCCGCGGUAAUACGUAGGGUGCAAGCGUUAAUCGGAAUUACUGGGCGUAAAGCGUGCGUAGGCGGUUAUAUAAGACAGAUGUGAAAUCCCCGGGCUCAACCUGGGAACUGCAUUUGUGACUGUAUAGCUAGAGUACGGCAGAGGGGGAUGGAAUUCCGCGUGUAGCAGUGAAAUGCGUAGAUAUGCGGAGGAACACCGAUGGCGAAGGCAAUCCCCUGGGCCUGUACUGACGCUCAUGCACGAAAGCGUGGGGAGCAAACA
This 427-nucleotide ribosomal RNA is filed under the name uncultured bacterium. RNAcentral describes it as "bacterial SSU rRNA". It matches the Rfam family "Bacterial small subunit ribosomal RNA", at positions 355 to 774 of the family's 1533-position model. The record is from RNAcentral.